AUUGAACGCUGGCGGAAUGCUUUACACAUGCAAGUCGAACGGCAGCACGGGUGCUUGCACCUGGUGGCGAGUGGCGAACGGGUGAGUAAUACAUCGGAACGUACCCAGUCGUGGGGGAUAGCGUAGCGAAAGUUACGCUAAUACCGCAUACGUCCUGAGGGAGAAAGCGGGGGACCGUAAGGCCUCGCGCGAUUGGAGCGGCCGAUGUCUGAUUAGCUAGUUGGUGAGGUAAAGGCUCACCAGGGCGACGAUCAGUAGCUGGUCCGAGAGGAUGAUCAGCCACACUGGAACUGAGACACGGUCCAGACUCCUACGGGAGGCAGCAGUGGGGAAUUUUGGACAAUGGGCGAAAGCCUGAUCCAGCCAUUCCGCGUGAGUGAAGAAGGCCUUCGGGUUGUAAAGCUCUUUCGGCAGGAACGAAACGCUCUAGAUUAAUACUCUGGGGUAAUGACGGUACCUGAAGAAGAAGCACCGGCUAACUACGUGCCAGCCGCCGCGGUAA
This 502-nucleotide ribosomal RNA is filed under the name uncultured bacterium. Its description in RNAcentral is "partial 16S ribosomal RNA". It matches the Rfam family "Bacterial small subunit ribosomal RNA", at positions 30 to 523 of the family's 1533-position model. The record is from RNAcentral.